Molecule: unclassified non-coding RNA, 129 nt
Filed under: fungal sp.
Lineage: Eukaryota; Fungi
Description: partial internal transcribed spacer region
Source: RNAcentral
AGACGGUAUUUGAGCUUGUGACCGCCUCAUACCGAUUCGCCAUUGGGGAGCUAGGCAACAAGCCUUGAGGAGGCCGUGAAGUGGGCGGGAUUGCGGGACGGUGGUACUUCGACCGCCGGAGAAUCUCUG